Molecule: ribosomal RNA, 536 nt
Filed under: uncultured Rhodopseudomonas sp.
Lineage: Bacteria; Pseudomonadati; Pseudomonadota; Alphaproteobacteria; Hyphomicrobiales; Nitrobacteraceae
Description: bacterial SSU rRNA
Rfam family: Bacterial small subunit ribosomal RNA
Source: RNAcentral
CGUAGCAAUACGUCAGUGGCAGACGGGUGAGUAACGCGUGGGAACGUACCUUUUGGUUCGGAACAACUGAGGGAAACUUCAGCUAAUACCGGAUAAGCCCUUACGGGGAAAGAUUUAUCGCCGAAAGAUCGGCCCGCGUCUGAUUAGCUAGUUGGUGAGGUAAUGGCUCACCAAGGCGACGAUCAGUAGCUGGUCUGAGAGGAUGAUCAGCCACAUUGGGACUGAGACACGGCCCAAACUCCUACGGGAGGCAGCAGUGGGGAAUAUUGGACAAUGGGGGCAACCCUGAUCCAGCCAUGCCGCGUGAGUGAUGAAGGCCCUAGGGUUGUAAAGCUCUUUUGUGCGGGAAGAUAAUGACGGUACCGCAAGAAUAAGCCCCGGCUAACUUCGUGCCAGCAGCCGCGGUAAUACGAAGGGGGCUAGCGUUGCUCGGAAUCACUGGGCGUAAAGGGUGCGUAGGCGGGUUUCUAAGUCAGAGGUGAAAGCCUGGAGCUCAACUCCAGAACUGCCUUUGAUACUGGAAGUCUUGAGUAUGG